AUUGAACGCUGGCGGCAUGCUUUACACAUGCAAGUCGAACGGUAACAGGCCUUCGGGUGCUGACGAGUGGCGAACGGGUGAGUAAUGCAUCGGAACGUGCCCAAUCGUGGGGGAUAACGUAGCGAAAGUUACGCUAAUACCGCAUAAGCCCUGAGGGGGAAAGUGGGGGACCGCAAGGCCUCACGCGAAUGGAGCGGCCGAUGUCAGAUUAGCUAGUUGGUGGGGUAAAGGCCCACCAAGGCGACGAUCUGUAGCGGGUCUGAGAGGAUGAUCCGCCACACUGGGACUGAGACACGGCCCAGACUCCUACGGGAGGCAGCAGUGGGGAAUUUUGGACAAUGGGCGCAAGCCUGAUCCAGCCAUGCCGCGUGCGGGACGAAGGCCUCGGGUUGUAACCGGACUUUCUAGCCGGAAGAAAUACGCCGUUUUAA
RNAcentral lists this ribosomal RNA (431 nucleotides) under uncultured bacterium. RNAcentral's name for it is "bacterial SSU rRNA". It matches the Rfam family "Bacterial small subunit ribosomal RNA", at positions 30 to 463 of the family's 1533-position model. The record is from RNAcentral.